RNAcentral lists this long non-coding RNA (848 nucleotides) under Homo sapiens (human). Its description in RNAcentral is "HSALNT0144104". Lineage: Eukaryota; Metazoa; Chordata; Mammalia; Primates; Hominidae. The record is from RNAcentral.
CCCAGUUCCACUAAGUUCUGAAUCCAGGCUAAAUACAAUUAGAACUUUAAGAACUGUGAAAAAUCUAAGACUUGAUUUGCAAGGAAUCAAGUUAGCCUGUCACAGGUUCAUAUUUAUAUUGGCAGGAAAACAGAAACCUCUGAGUCAGAGACAAGACAGUUUAUUACUAGGAGAAAGAGCAACAGCCAGACUCGCAUAUUAGUUUUGCUCCCUGAGCUCCAAUAACCCAAGAGUGGCGUGGUGAGAGGUGAGGAAAACAGAAGCUCACAUAUGUGAAGUACCUUAUGAAAGGUCACUGGCUCAUAAGAGGAACAGGAUGCAGACUGCAGACUUCUGACUCUCAGCUAGCGUCCCUGCUCAUUCCCAAGGAAAUGGAAAGACACAAUGCUACUGUUAUUUGAAUGUUUAGGAGAAGGGUGGGUGGUGGUAAAAGGAAAUGUCUCACAAGCCCCACUGGCACUUGAUUUGUUGAAACUGUAAUAAUCACACUAUUAAUGGGUCUCUUUGGAAUAAUGCUUUUAGGAGGGCUUUUAUUGGCAUUAUUUGUUUGACAAAAUAACAUUGUGCACUUGAUGUCAUUAAACCCAUUUUACAGAUUGAGAAACCGGAAAAUACUGAUUUCUCCGUCGUUUACUAAACUGGUAAAUGGAAGAACCAAAAGUUUACUCCCCAAAACUGUGCUUUAAAUAAGUGACCACUGCCCUUGUACCUACAUUUAUUUAUUAUCUAUUAACCCGCUUGCUGGAUCUUCCUUAUGAAGAAGUUCGGUAGAUCAUGUUUGCUUUUUCAUUUAUGCAUAAAUAUUUAAGAGGCCACACCCAUUAAGAUGACUACUCUGAAAAAAAAAA